UGGAGGGUUUGGCCAUGGCUUUGGAGUUGGCCUUGCUGUGAAGCCUAGUGUGCUGCAUCAGAUACAGUCACAAUUUUUACAAAUGGCAACAGGUGUGAUGGAAAGACUUGGAAUAAAUUCCAGUUCUACCCUGUCUGCUAGCCAAGGGAUUAUUUCCC
This is a non-coding RNA of Salvia hispanica, 158 nucleotides long. Lineage: Eukaryota; Viridiplantae; Streptophyta; Magnoliopsida; Lamiales; Lamiaceae. The record is from RefSeq and is a predicted model, not a curated record.